RNAcentral lists this small nuclear RNA (315 nucleotides) under Heterocephalus glaber (naked mole-rat). Its description in RNAcentral is "7SK RNA". It matches the Rfam family "7SK RNA". From Rfam's summary of the family: 7SK was discovered as an abundant small nuclear RNA in the mid-70s but a possible function has only recently been suggested. Two independent studies have found that 7SK RNA binds the CDK9/cyclin T complex (known as elongation factor P-TEFb). Lineage: Eukaryota; Metazoa; Chordata; Mammalia; Rodentia; Bathyergidae. The record is from Rfam by way of RNAcentral.
GGAUGUGAUGGAGAUCUGGCAGCGACAUCUGUCACCUUGUUGAUCUCCAGGGUCGAUUGAUUUGGCUGAUCUGGCUGGCUAGGCGGGCGUCCCCUUCCUCCCUCACUGCUCCAUGUGCGUCCCUCCUGAAGCUGUGUGCUUUGUGGAAGAGGAUGCCCCAAAUAGAGGAGGACUUUUCUUCAGUCAAAGAUAUGCAAGUAGCUGUGCUCCCCUGCUAGAACCUCCAAACAAGCUCUCAAAAAUGGACUUAGUAUCUUGCAGGUUUUUCUUCCUUCUGAUCACAGCAAAUUUCUGUGAAUUUGGCAUGUUUUAAAU